Long non-coding RNA from Ahaetulla prasina, 571 nucleotides. RefSeq lists it as uncharacterized. The record is from RefSeq and is a predicted model, not a curated record. The transcript is spliced from 3 exons. NCBI's taxonomy places the organism in Eukaryota, Metazoa, Chordata, Lepidosauria, Squamata, Colubridae.
CAGACCUCAUCCAGGCCUCAGUUCUAUGUGAACAGAGGCCUGGAUGAGAUUUGUGGCAAAAGUGUUUGUAAAUAGAGGAAGCAAAGGCUUCGGCCUUCCCUCUGUUUGCAAAGUCAUUUGCUGUGGAUGUCAUCCAGGCCUCUGUUUGCAGAGAACUGAGACCUAGAGUACAGCAAGAUCACACGAGAUCUGCUACUGAUCUUCCAUGAUCUCACGGUAUUUUAGACCUCAGUUCUCUGCGAAUGCACCAAAACAGGCAAAGAAACUGAAGGGUUGCUAGAUCUUCACAAGAUGCUGUCAGUCAACCAAAGAUUAGCCAAGUCUGGUGAACAGAACUCAGGGGCAAUCAUAUCAAGAGCUGGGGCCUUCUUCUAUUCUCAGGAGUUAAUCAGACACUUGACAAGACGAACAUAGAAGCUAGUGGAUCCCACUGAGUUUGUUCUGUGUGCCAUGGUGAAUUACACUUUGUAACAGAGAUAUCCAUGGUAAAGAAAGACAAAAUACGAGUCAUGAUGCAGACAUAGACCCUUACACACUCAUGUGCAAUUUUGUCAUGUUGUGAUUCAGAAUG